RNAcentral lists this ribosomal RNA (458 nucleotides) under uncultured bacterium. Its description in RNAcentral is "partial 16S ribosomal RNA". It matches the Rfam family "Bacterial small subunit ribosomal RNA", at positions 338 to 795 of the family's 1533-position model. The record is from RNAcentral.
CCUACGGGAGGCAGCAGUGGGGAAUAUUGCACAAUGGGGGAAACCCUGAUGCAGCGACGCCGCGUGAGUGAAGAAGUAUUUCGGUAUGUAAAGCUCUAUCAGCAGGGAAGAAAUAGCGACCUUUGGGUCGCCAGACGGUACCUGACUAAGAAGCCCCGGCUAACUACGUGCCAGCAGCCGCGGUAAUACGUAGGGGGCAAGCGUUAUCCGGAUGUAGUGGGUGUAAAGGGAGCGUAGACGGCAGCACAAGUCUGAAGUGAAAUGCCGGGGCUUAACCCCGGAACUGCUUUUGAAACUGGGCAGCUAGAGUGCAGGAGAGGUAAGUGGAAUUCCUAGUGUAGCGGUGAAAUGCGUAGAUAUUAGGAGGAACCCCAGUGGCGAAGGCGGCUUACUGGACUGUAACUGACGUUGAGGCUCGAAAGCGUGGGGAGCAAACAGGAUUAGAUACCCUUGUAGUC